GAUGAACGCUGGCGGCGUGCCUAAUACAUGCAAGUCGAGCGAACGGACGAGAAGCUUGCUUCUCUGAUGUUAGCGGCGGACGGGUGAGUAACACGUGGAUAACCUACCUAUAAGACUGGGAUAACUUCGGGAAACCGGAGCUAAUACCGGAUAAUAUUUUGAACCGCAUGGUUCAAAAGUGAAAGACGGUCUUGCUGUCACUUAUAGAUGGAUCCGCGCUGCAUUAGCUAGUUGGUAAGGUAACGGCUUACCAAGGCAACGAUGCAUAGCCGACCUGAGAGGGUGAUCGGCCACCUUGGAACUGGAACACGGACCAGACUCCUACGGGAGGCAGCAGUAGGGAAUCUUCCGCAAUGGGCGAAAGCCUGACGGAGCAACGCCGCGUGAGUGAUGAAGGUCUUCGGAUCGUAAAACUCUGUUAUUAGGGAAGAACAUAUGUGUAAGUAACUGUGCACAUCUUGACGGUACCUAAUCAGAAAGCCACGGCUAACUACGUG
This 497-nucleotide ribosomal RNA is filed under the name uncultured bacterium. Its description in RNAcentral is "partial 16S ribosomal RNA". It matches the Rfam family "Bacterial small subunit ribosomal RNA", at positions 28 to 507 of the family's 1533-position model. The record is from RNAcentral.